Nipponia nippon (crested ibis) is the source of this 851-nucleotide non-coding RNA. Lineage: Eukaryota; Metazoa; Chordata; Aves; Pelecaniformes; Threskiornithidae. The record is from RefSeq and is a predicted model, not a curated record.
GGACCUGUCAGGGCAACCUUCCUCCUUUCCCUGCUUGUGUGACAGAGCCUGUUUCUGACGCUAUUCUCUGUCUGUUUGAUGUUGCUGCAGGGACGGGAUGGCCCACAUGGAGAGAGCUCUGCCCUGGCUGCUGCUGCUGGCACUGGUCUUGCUGGGCAGCAGCACGGCGGAGCAGGACUGCCGAGUAAGCAGCUUCAAAGUCAAGGAGAACUUCGACAAGACCAGGUACAGUGGCACCUGGUAUGCCAUGGCAAAAAAAGAUCCUGAGGGGCUGUUUCUGCAGGACAAUGUGGUAGCCCAGUUCACUGUAGAUGAGAAUGGACAAAUGAGUGCCACCGCAAAGGGCAGAGUCAGACUCUUCAAUAACUGGGAUGUCUGUGCUGACAUGAUUGGCUCUUUCACUGACACACAGGAUCCUGCCAAGUUCAAGAUGAAGUACUGGGGUGUUGCUUCUUUUCUGCAGAAAGGAAAUGAUGAUCACUGGGUAGUGGACACAGAUUAUGAUACCUAUGCUCUUCAUUACUCCUGCCGCCAACUAAAUGAAGAUGGCACUUGUGCUGAUAGCUAUUCCUUUGUUUUCUCCCGGGACCCCAAGGGAUUGCCUCCAGGGGCACAGAAAAUUGUCAGACAAAGGCAGAUAGACCUCUGCUUGGACAGAAAAUACAGAGUUAUUGUUCAUAAUGGAUUUUGCUCUUAAAGAGAUCCGAAACUAUGGAAAGAAACCAUGUAACAGCACGAUGGAUGUAAAGUUAACACAUUGAUUGGGUGUUCUCUUGAAAACAUUUUAAACGGCUUCAUUUAGAUUUUGAGUAUAUUUAUCUGAGCUGUGUAGCUCAUCUUAUCAUCAACAC